UGCCUAAUACAUGCAAGUUGAGCGCUGAAGGUUGGUACUUGUACCGACUGGAUGAGCAGCGAACGGGUGAGUAACGCGUGGGGAAUCUGCCUUUGAGCGGGGGACAACAUUUGGAAACGAAUGCUAAUACCGCAUAAAAACUUUAAACACAAGUUUUAAGUUUGAAAGAUGCAAUUGCAUCACUCAAAGAUGAUCCCGCGUUGUAUUAGCUAGUUGGUGAGGUAAAGGCUCACCAAGGCGAUGAUACAUAGCCGACCUGAGAGGGUGAUCGGCCACAUUGGGACUGAGACACGGCCCAAACUCCUACGGGAGGCAGCAGUAGGGAAUCUUCGGCAAUGGACGAAAGUCUGACCGAGCAACGCCGCGUGAGUGAAGAAGGUUUUCGGAUCGUAAAACUCUGUUGGUAGAGAAGAACGUUGGUGAGAGUGGAAAGCUCAUCAAGUGACGGUAACUACCCAGAAAGGGACGGCUAACUACGUGCCAGCAGCCGCGGUAAUACGUAGGUCCCGAGCGUUGUCCGGAUUUAUUGGGCGUAAAGCGAGCGCAGGUGGUUUAUUAAGUCUGGUGUAAAAGGCAGUGGCUCAACCAUUGUAUGCAUUGGAAACUGGUAGACUUGAGUGCAGGAGAGGAGAGUGGAAUUCCAUGUGUAGCGGUGAAAUGCGUAGAUAUAUGGAGGAACACCGGUGGCGAAAGCGGCUCUCUGGUCUGUAACUGACACUGAGGCUCGAAAGCGUGGGGAGCAAACAGGAUUAGAUACCCUGGUGCUGCACGCCGUAAACGAUGAGUGCUAGAUGUAGGGAGC
This 802-nucleotide ribosomal RNA is filed under the name Enterococcus durans. RNAcentral describes it as "bacterial SSU rRNA". It matches the Rfam family "Bacterial small subunit ribosomal RNA", at positions 45 to 830 of the family's 1533-position model. The record is from RNAcentral. Lineage: Bacteria; Bacillati; Bacillota; Bacilli; Lactobacillales; Enterococcaceae.